GAAAGUGCCUAACAGUUUAUUGGGAUAAAUAGCUUACAAGGCAUUUGUUGUCACAUGUAGAAAGGGUUCUUCCCUCUCCCUUGAUAGGUGUCUGCACCCCUCACCCAUCAGCAAGUAGAGUUUUCUCAACCAUAGUGCAAUUGGUCAAUUCUAACACAUUCUUGAACAAUAUUCAGGACAUCCCACAUAAGAAUGUCGGUAAUUCAGCUGGAAGUACACCUCACAGCAGAAAUUGUGCUUUAAAAGGACAUGGAGAUGGUUUUCAUAAAAAAUGUCCUGAUUUGAAGGGCAUCAAUAACGUCAGAAAGUCUGCUUCUAACAAAGCAGUAGCAAUGAAAAAAAUACAAAAACUACAAUCAGAUCUAAAGUCUUCAUUGGCAUUCGAAGAGACUGGAACAAAUGGCCUUGGGGAUUCUAAGGAGGGUAGACAGGGGGAGAGAAAGAUAGACACCAGAAGACCUGUUUUGGAUGAUGCCCAGUUCCUACAGAGGCCUGUGGUUGUGGAUAAACCCACCAUAACCCCACCAGUAAAAGUUCCAGUCCACCUAUUUAAUGUUAUUCCAUCCAAUAAAUCUAAUAAGUCCAUUUCAGAAAAUGCAGUAUUUGCAAAGG
This is a long non-coding RNA of Erinaceus europaeus (western European hedgehog), 612 nucleotides long. RefSeq lists it as uncharacterized. The transcript is spliced from 6 exons. NCBI's taxonomy places the organism in Eukaryota, Metazoa, Chordata, Mammalia, Eulipotyphla, Erinaceidae. The record is from RefSeq and is a predicted model, not a curated record.